UUCUAUCUUGAAUCCAGCAGACCUGGAUGUAGGUUUUCUUGCCUCUCAUCCCAUCCAUCAUUUAGAUGGAUUUGCAAAGGAGAGAUUAGUGAGAAUAGAUAAAUUCAAGCAUGUUGCUUUCCUACUCAAAAGCACUGGAAAAAAAAGAUAAUAAGAUGAGAAUAUGAAAGAUCAUCUUGUAAAAGAAAAGUGGAAACAAUUAGGAGUAGAAAGGGAUGUUAAACAGAAGGUUAAUCAAUGCCAUCAAAGCUUGUAAAAGAUUUCAUGAUUUCUAAUUGCAUUGACCAUUUUGUAGGAACCUAAACAGGCAUGAAUGCAUAUAAAUCAUUUACUUUCAAGCUUCAAUCUAAUACUUCUGCUGGCUUAUCCAACCUUGCUAAUAUAUCCUUCUCAGAAAUAUAAGCAGAUCACAUUGGCAAGAGCUGAAAGCCUGAUUGGAAAAAGAUUGAGAAUUGAUGUAUGUGUUUGUAGUGACAACCCAACCUAAGAAAAGAGCAACUUGCAUCAAAGAUAAUCAAAUAGACAGAAAUAUAUGGACUCCAGGAAACACACACACAAUUAUUACACAUCUAAUGUUUGGAGAAGAAUGUGUUCUUGAACAACAAUGCAGAUCAAGUAGCUUAGGACACACUGCAAUUGACAUUAGCUGAAAAUUCAUUUGAUACAGUUCAAUUGAUGUUAGUAUCAGUUUAUGUGGUUGAUCAUGAGACCAUUAACAUGUGCACCUCAACAUGUUUUGUACUUGGAAACUAAUGAACAAGUGAAGGAAGAACAAAUCAAGAAAAAUAAAUGUUGUGAGUUCAUAUACAAGCUAGAAGAAGAUGAUGUUUUUGAGAAUAUAUCUUUAGUCUCACCAAUGGUUGACUAUGUCUAUGAAAACAAGAUGCUAGAAAAACACAUGUAGAAAUUGAGAAUAUUAUUUUUGGUGCAGAUCAUACAUAAUAAUAGCAUCAGAAAUAUUACACUAGCAAAGAAUGAAUGUUUACUUUGUAGUAAAUCUCUAUGAUCUAAAUAUAGCAUCGGUCCCAAGGAAGAACCCAGAAGCCAUGAGAGGCCACCAUAUCACUGUCACCAGUGUUUCGUCAUGCAAGGGUGCAGUGAAGAACAUGUCUUCCAUAAGAAAGAGAUUGCAGAUAUCUGUUUUGGAGACUGUUCAAGCAGCUCUGGAAACUGAGGUCACUUAGGAUCAUUUUCACAGUCUUUAUUUGUUAUGGUAUGAUCCAAGAGAGAAAGACGUAUGAAUUUACAGAGAGCUUUUGAUUUUAGAGCAGUAGGAAAGGAAGAGGAGGAGGAGGAGGAGGAGGAGGAGAAGUGGAGGUUUCCUUCACUCUGAGCAACCCAAGGUUUGAUCUUGGUCUUUCAGUUUGAGUUCCACCAGCUGUUGGAUCAAAUUCCAGUGUCUUGUCCUUCUCAAUCUUCCUAAAGAUCUUCUGUGGCGAGGGAGGAGAAAACCCUAACCCUAAUCCUACCUGCGGAGCUGCCUUCUUCAGCUUCUCUGCAAUUGUUGUCCAAGAAAAGAGGACAGAGGCCUGCUUUGAGUUUUGCUCUUCUUUGGAAGGUCAGGGAAGAGAGAGAGAGAGAGAGAGAGAGAGAGAGAGAGAGAGAGAGAGAGAGAGAGCUGGGCAUGUCGGCGGCAUCGAGGUCGCCGUGCGCGGCGUGCAGGUUCUUGCGGCGGAAGUGCACGCCCGGCUGCGUGUUCGCGCCUUACUUCCCGCCGGACCAGCCGACGAAGUUCACCAGCGUGCAUCGGGUGUUCGGGGCGAGCAACGUGGCGAAGCUGCUUGGCGAGCUCAGCCCGUGGCAGAGGGAGGACGCCGUGAACUCGCUGGCCUACGAGGCGGAGGCGCGGCUCCACGACCCCGUCUACGGCUGCGUCGGUCACAUCUGCCUCCUCCAACACAAGCUCCACCAGGUGCAGAGCGACCUCUACAACGCCAGGAAGGAGCUCUCCGCCUACCUCAGCGUUCCCAUCGCCGAUCCCCACCACCAACAACCCCAAGCGGCAUCUCCAUCGUCCCACCAGCAGAUCUUGUUGCACGAGCUGCAACAGCAGAUGGCCGCGGUGCAGCAGAUUGCAGCCAACCGAGAGCGAGCGAAUCAGCAGGAGAUCUCAAGAUUCAGUACCGUGUUUCAGAUGGCUGGUGGCUCUACCAUGGCUGCCACCACGGGACUGCCGGCGUUGCUCCCCCCUCGGCCUUUCGAGGGAGUGUUCUCUCCGCAACAACAACAUAAUGAGAGGAAAUAAAGCAUUAGUUUCUGAUACUACUAAGCAAUGCUUGUCGAGCAAAACCUACAGAUCUCUCCUUCACUUCCUCUUAUUGCCGUGGAUUCACUCUCGGUAUUAAUGGGAUUAAGGAGACAACACUUACCACUUGAAUUUGAUUCAGUACAGCCAAGCAAAAGGAAUGGCGCUGCAGAAUACAUCUCUCUCUCU
This 2434-nucleotide long non-coding RNA is filed under the name Musa acuminata (dwarf banana). RNAcentral's name for it is "long non-coding RNA (MACU_LNC002219)". The record is from RNAcentral. Lineage: Eukaryota; Viridiplantae; Streptophyta; Magnoliopsida; Zingiberales; Musaceae.